RNAcentral lists this transfer RNA (65 nucleotides) under Hypermnestra helios (desert apollo). Its description in RNAcentral is "trnA-Phe". Lineage: Eukaryota; Metazoa; Arthropoda; Insecta; Lepidoptera; Papilionidae. The record is from RNAcentral.
AUUUAAAUAGCUUAUAAUAGAGUGUAAUAUUGAAGAUAUUAAGGAGAUUAUUUAAUCUUUAGAUA